RNAcentral lists this ribosomal RNA (228 nucleotides) under uncultured bacterium. RNAcentral's name for it is "partial 16S ribosomal RNA". It matches the Rfam family "Bacterial small subunit ribosomal RNA", at positions 15 to 226 of the family's 1533-position model. The record is from RNAcentral.
GAUCAUGGCUCAGGAUGAACGCUAGCGACAGGCUUAACACAUGCAAGUCGAGGGGCAGCAUGAACUUAGCUUGCUAAGUUUGAUGGCGACCGGCGCACGGGUGAGUAACGCGUAUGCAACUUACCUAUCAGAGGAGAAUAGCUCAUCGAAAGAUGAAUUAAUGCUCCAUAAAACAAGGGGUCCCGGCCAUGGGGAGUAUUUGUUUAAAGUAAUUCAUCGCUGAUAGAA